This 253-nucleotide ribosomal RNA is filed under the name uncultured bacterium. Its description in RNAcentral is "partial 16S ribosomal RNA". It matches the Rfam family "Bacterial small subunit ribosomal RNA", at positions 524 to 776 of the family's 1533-position model. The record is from RNAcentral.
UACAGAGGUCUCGAGCGUUAGGCGGAAUCACUGGGCUUAAAGCGUGUGUAGGUGGAUCGUUAAGUACCUUGUGAAAGCCCACGGCUCAACCGUGGAGGGUCAUUGGAAACUGGGGGACUUGAGUACAGAAGAGAAGAGUGGAAUUCCACGUGUAGCGGUGAAAUGCGUAGAGAUGUGGAGGAACACCAGUGGCGAAGGCGACUCUUUGGUCUGUAACUGACGCUGAGGCGCGAAAGCGUGGGGAGCAAACAGG